AGCAACUACCUAGCCCAACUAAUAAAUAUAAAACCCAACAAACAAAUUAUCCUACCAAUAAAUCAACUAAAACAUUUUACCAUCAUAGUAUAGGAGAUAGAAAAGAUAAUUGGAGCUAUAAAGACAGUACCGCGAGGGAAAGAUGAAAAACAUGAAACACUCACCAAGCCAGAAAAAGCAAAGAUUAACUCUUGUACCUUUUGCAUCAUGAUUUAGCCAGUACAUCCAAGCAAAGAGAACUAAAGUCUGAACUCCCGAAACCAAAUGAGCUACUUAAAGGUAGCCUAUACCACCAUGGGCUAAAUCCGUCUCUGUGGCAAAAGAGUGGAGAAACCUUUAAGUAGAGGUGAAAAGCCUAACGAACCUGGUGAUAGCUGGUUGCUCAACAAAAGAAUAUCAGUUCAACCUUAAACCUCCUAACCUAACAACUUUGAAGUAAUAGAAGAGAAGUUUAAGAUAUAUUCAACAGGGGUACAGCCCUGUUGAAAAAGGGUACAACCUAAAAUGCAGGACAAAACAUCAAAGCAAGACCACAGUAGGCCUUAAAGCAGCCAUCUCCAAAGAAAGCGUCAAAGCUCACUACAAUUAAUAUCAACACAAUUUUUUUCCCCUAAACAACAUUGAGCUAUUCUAUCACCAUAGAAGAACUAAUGCUAAAAUGAGUAACAAGAAGACGAAACUUCUCUUCCGCGCCAACUUAAAUCAUAAUAGAUAAACUACUGAUUAUUACAACCAAUAUUAUAAGAUCAACAGUACUUAAUACACCAUAUAAACCCAACUGUUAACCCAACACAGGAGCGCACACAAGAAAGAUUAAAAUUUGUAAAAGGAACUAGGCAAACAUUGAGCUCGACUGUUUACCAAAAACAUAGCCCCUAGCAACAAUAAGUAUUAGGGGUAAUGCCUGCCCAGUGACACUGUUCAACGGCCGCGGUAUCCUAACCGUGCAAAGGUAGCGUAAUCACUUGUCUUUUAAAUAAGGACUAGAAUGAACGGCUAAACGAGGUUCUACCUGUCUCUUACAAAUAAUCAGUGAAAUUGGUCUUCCAGUGCAAAACCUGGAAUAAAAAUAUAAGACGAGAAGACCCUGUGGAACUUUAAAUACAAAUCAAUCUAUUAUUCAUACCCACCCACGAUGGUUUAUCACCAAUUAGCACAUUGAUCCAUAUUUUCGGUUGGGAUGACCUCAGAGUAAAAUUAAACCUCUGAACAAAGAACACACCUCCAAACCUAGACCCACCAUUCAAAGUGCUUACAGCAAAAUGAUCCAAUACACUUGAUCAACGAACCAAGCUACCCCAGGGAUAACAGCGCAAUCCUAUCCUAGAGUCCCUAUCGACGAUAGGGUUUACGACCUCGAUGUUGGAUCAGGACAUCCUAAUGGUGUAACCGCUAUCAAGGGUUCGUUUGUUCAACGAUUAAUAGUCCUACGUGAUCUGAGUUCAGACCGGAGUAAUCCAGGUCGGUUUCUAUCUAUAAAUGGGCUUUUUCUAGUACGAAAGGACCGAAAAGACAAGGCCUAUUUUUAAAAACAAGCCUUACCUUAUAUUAGUGAAAGCAACUUAACUAAUAAUAAGGACAAACCAUUUAACCCUAAAAAGGGGUUAU
RNAcentral lists this ribosomal RNA (1608 nucleotides) under Platysternon megacephalum (big-headed turtle). RNAcentral describes it as "large subunit ribosomal RNA". It matches the Rfam family "Bacterial large subunit ribosomal RNA". Lineage: Eukaryota; Metazoa; Chordata; Testudines; Platysternidae. The record is from RNAcentral.